UACGUAGGGUGCAAGCGUUGUCCGGAAUUAUUGGGCGUAAAGGGCUCGUAGGCGGUCCGUCACGUCGGGAGUGAAAACUUGGGGCUUAACCCCAAGCCUGCUUCCGAUACGGGCGGACUAGAGGUAGGCAGGGGAGAACGGAAUUCCUGGUGUAGCGGUGAAAUGCGCAGAUAUCAGGAGGAACACCGGUGGCGAAGGCGGGCACCUGGGCUAACACUGACGCUGAUGCGCGAAAGCUAGGGGAGCAAACAGG
This 253-nucleotide ribosomal RNA is filed under the name uncultured bacterium. Its description in RNAcentral is "partial 16S ribosomal RNA". It matches the Rfam family "Bacterial small subunit ribosomal RNA", at positions 524 to 776 of the family's 1533-position model. The record is from RNAcentral.